CAUGACACCCAAGCGUGUCUGGA
RNAcentral lists this microRNA (23 nucleotides) under Caenorhabditis briggsae. Lineage: Eukaryota; Metazoa; Nematoda; Chromadorea; Rhabditida; Rhabditidae. The record is from RNAcentral.